Non-coding RNA from Acanthosepion pharaonis, 102 nucleotides. NCBI's taxonomy places the organism in Eukaryota, Metazoa, Mollusca, Cephalopoda, Sepiida, Sepiidae. The record is from the annotation of a GenBank genome assembly.
UACGACCACAUCACGUUGAAACACCAGUUCCCUGAAGUUAAGCAAUGUCGAGCCUGGUCAGUACCUAGAUGGGGGACCGCUUGGGAAAACAGGGUGUUGUAA